This 737-nucleotide long non-coding RNA is filed under the name Rattus norvegicus (Norway rat). Its description in RNAcentral is "long non-coding RNA NONRATT010265". Lineage: Eukaryota; Metazoa; Chordata; Mammalia; Rodentia; Muridae. The record is from RNAcentral.
ACCAACUGCCUGUCUAAUCUUCAAUGCCUCCAGAUUUCACUAAUCAACCUGUUGUCCAGGCUAAGGAGGCUGUCUGGGAGAAAGAGCAAAGAGCAUGAAGAGAUCAGUGAAUGAUUCUUGUAAAGCAGCUCAUGGAAUGGACUUCUGAGACCAACUAUGAGCCCUCCAGACUGGUGCUUUCCAACCAACAGACAAAAGUAUCCACUCUACACGAAUGAUACAUAGAUAUAUACACAGAAUACCAGGAUGGAUACAGUUUCUUCAGUUUCAUGAAUGAGGUAUUCAGCAGGUCUUGGUCCACAGAAGCAACGACAUCAGGUUUUCCAAUUCCAUUUGACAUGGGACCAGAACCUUCAACCGAAUGUUCCUUCCUGGAAAGCUGCAGCCUGUCAGCGUGGCUCAGUGGUUUGUGAACUGCAAGUUCCCGUCUCGAAAGGUGGUCGUGUUCAUCAAGCCCACCUGCCCCUAUUGCAGAAAGACCCAAGAAAUCCUCAGUCAACUGCCUUUCAAACCUGGUCUUCUGGAAUCUGUGAACAUCACAGUCACUAACAUCACCAAUGCGAUUCAAGAUUAUUUACAACAGCUCACUGGAUGGAGAACAGUUCCUCAGGUCUUCAUAGGUAAAGAAAGACUGCAUAGGCAGACGCAGUGAUCUAAUAUCCAUGACACAGCAAGGUGAGCUGAUGACCUGACUGAAGGAGAUUGGAGCUCUGCAGUUAGGAAAGGGGUGCAGGCAG